This 274-nucleotide ribosomal RNA is filed under the name uncultured bacterium. Its description in RNAcentral is "partial 16S ribosomal RNA". It matches the Rfam family "Bacterial small subunit ribosomal RNA", at positions 523 to 796 of the family's 1533-position model. The record is from RNAcentral.
AUACGAAGGGCCCAAGCGUUAAUCGGAAUUACUGGGCUUAAAGGGUGCGUAGGCGGGCCCGCAAGUGUCUUGUGAAAUCCCACGGCUCAACCGUGGAACUGCUUGGCAUACUGCGGGCCUUGAGGUCGACAAAGGUCGUCGGAACUCUAGGUGUAGCGGUGAAAUGCGUAGAUAUCUAGAGGAACGCCAAAGGCGAAGGCAGACGGCUGGGUCGAUCCUGACGCUGAGGCACGAAAGCAUGGGUAGCGAACGGGAUUAGAUACCCCAGUAGUCC